Molecule: small nuclear RNA, 168 nt
Organism: Mastomys coucha (southern multimammate mouse)
Lineage: Eukaryota; Metazoa; Chordata; Mammalia; Rodentia; Muridae
Product: U1 spliceosomal RNA
Exons: 1
Source: RefSeq, a predicted model, not a curated record
GUGCUUACCUGGCUGGGGACAUUCUGUGAUCAUAAAGAUGUUAUUUCCAGGGUACCAUGUACUACUUCACAUAUGCUGACCCCUGUGGCUUUGCCAAAUACAAAAAUUUGAUACAUAAUUUAUAAUAGUUGGGAAUUUUUAAAAAACAAAACAAAACAAAAAUCCAUU